GCGGCGAACGGGUGAGUAACACGUGAGCAACCUGCCCCAGGCUUUGGGAUAACCCCGGGAAACCGGGGCUAAUACCGAAUAUGACCUUGCACCGCAUGGUGUUUGGUGGAAAGUUUUUCGGCUUGGGAUGGGCUCGCGGCCUAUCAGCUUGUUGGUGGGGUGAUGGCCUACCAAGGCGACGACGGGUAGCCGGCCUGAGAGGGCGACCGGCCACACUGGGACUGAGACACGGCCCAGACUCCUACGGGAGGCAGCAGUGGGGAAUAUUGCACAAUGGGCGGAAGCCUGAUGCAGCGACGCCGCGUGAGGGAUGACGGCCUUCGGGUUGUAAACCUCUUUCAGCAGGGACGAAGCGUAAGUGACGGUACCUGCAGAAGAAGCGCCGGCCAACUACGUGCCAGCAGCCGCGGUAAGACGUAGGGCGCGAGCGUUGUCCGGAUUUAUUGGGCGUAAAGAGCUCGUAGGCGGCUUGUCGCGUCGACUGUGAAAACCCGCAGCUCAACUGCGGGCCUGCAGUCGAUACGGGCAGGCUAGAGUUCGGUAGGGGAGACUGGAAUUCCUGGUGUAGCGGUGAAAUGCGCAGAUAUCAGGAGGAACACCGGUGGCGAAGGCGGGUCUCUGGGCCGAUACUGACGCUGAGGAGCGAAAGCGUGGGGAGCGAACAGGAUUAGAUACCCUGGUAGUCCACGCUGUAAACGUUGGGCGCUAGGUGUGGGGGGCCUCUCCGGUUCCCUGUGCCGCAGCUAACGCAUUAAGCGCCCCGCCUGGGGAGUACGGCCGCAAGGCUAAAACUCAAAGGAAUUGACGGGGG
Molecule: ribosomal RNA, 811 nt
Filed under: Micromonospora sp. PetSC-01
Lineage: Bacteria; Bacillati; Actinomycetota; Actinomycetes; Micromonosporales; Micromonosporaceae
Description: bacterial SSU rRNA
Rfam family: Bacterial small subunit ribosomal RNA
Source: RNAcentral